Molecule: ribosomal RNA, 538 nt
Filed under: uncultured bacterium
Lineage: Bacteria
Description: bacterial SSU rRNA
Rfam family: Bacterial small subunit ribosomal RNA
Source: RNAcentral
GACGCUAAUACCGCAUACGUCCUACGGGAGAAAGCAGGGGACCUUCGGGCCUUGCGCUAUCAGAUGAGCCUAGGUCGGAUUAGCUAGUUGGUGGGGUAAUGGCUCACCAAGGCGACGAUCCGUAACUGGUCUGAGAGGAUGAUCAGUCACACUGGAACUGAGACACGGUCCAGACUCCUACGGGAGGCAGCAGUGGGGAAUAUUGGACAAUGGGCGAAAGCCUGAUCCAGCCAUGCCGCGUGUGUGAAGAAGGUCUUCGGAUUGUAAAGCACUUUAAGUUGGGAGGAAGGGCAGUAAAUUAAUACUUUGCUGUUUUGACGUUACCGACAGAAUAAGCACCGGCUAACUCUGUGCCAGCAGCCGCGGUAAUACAGAGGGUGCAAGCGUUAAUCGGAAUUACUGGGCGUAAAGCGCGCGUAGGUGGUUCGUUAAGUUGGAUGUGAAAUCCCCGGGCUCAACCUGGGAACUGCAUUCAAAACUGACGAGCUAGAGUAUGGUAGAGGGUGGUGGAAUUUCCUGUGUAGCGGUGAAAUGCGUA